UACGGGGGGGGCAAGCGUUGUUCGGAAUUACUGGGCGUAAAGGGCUCGUAGGUGGCCAACUAAGUCAGACGUGAAAUCCCUCGGCUCAACCGGGGAACUGCGUCUGAUACUGGCGGGCUUGAGUUCGGGAGAGGGAUGCGGAAUUCCAGGUGUAGCGGUGAAAUGCGUAGAUAUCUGGAGGAACACCGGUGGCGAAGGCGGCAUCCUGGACCGAGACUGACACUGAGGAGCGAAAGCCAGGGGAGCAAACGGG
RNAcentral lists this ribosomal RNA (253 nucleotides) under uncultured bacterium. RNAcentral describes it as "partial 16S ribosomal RNA". It matches the Rfam family "Bacterial small subunit ribosomal RNA", at positions 524 to 776 of the family's 1533-position model. The record is from RNAcentral.